AGAGAAUACUCCCUACGGUAUUUCAUGUGGAACAAGAAGACCUGGGAUCACCAGAGAUUGACGUGGAAAUUGCAGGGUGCAUUUUGAAGGAAGUGCCAGUAGAUUCAGGAUCUAGAGUCAAUAUCAUGACAGAGGAGACAGCUCAUGAUCUGGGCUACCAUGAUUUCGAAACCACUCCUAGAAUGCUGAGACUAGCAGAUCAAACAAGGAGAAAGCCAGCAGGUAUUCUUCGAAAUGUAGAAACUCUAAUAGGAGGAGUGCCCUUCAAACUAACUUAUAUUAUCAUUCGCCCAAUAGUG
Molecule: long non-coding RNA, 299 nt
Filed under: Physcomitrium patens
Lineage: Eukaryota; Viridiplantae; Streptophyta; Bryopsida; Funariales; Funariaceae
Description: long non-coding RNA (PPAT_LNC000073)
Source: RNAcentral